Molecule: non-coding RNA, 1073 nt
Organism: Microcebus murinus (gray mouse lemur)
Lineage: Eukaryota; Metazoa; Chordata; Mammalia; Primates; Cheirogaleidae
Source: RefSeq, a predicted model, not a curated record
UUAAGUAUACAGUUCAGUAGUGUUAAGUAUAAUAUGUUCACAUUGUUAUGAAUCAGUUCUUCAGAACAUUUUUAUCUUGUAAAACUGAAACUGUAUACCUAUUAAACAGCAACUCCCCACUCCAUAUCUCCCUACCCCCUCCUUGGUAGCCACCAUUCUACUUCAUGUUUCAGUAAAUUUGAAUACUGUAGAUAAUUUAUAUAAGCGGAAUUUGUUUUUUUGUGACUAGCUUAUUUCACUUAGCAUAAUGUCCUCAAGGUUAAUCUAUUUUGUGCUAUAUAUCAGAAUUUCUUCCUUUAAAAAGGCUGAAUAAUAUUUCAUUGUAUGUAUAUAUCACAUGUUGUCUAUUUCUUCAUCCAUCCAGGGACACAUGUAUUGUUUCUGCCUUUUUGUUAGUGAAUAAUGCUGCCAUGAACAUGGAUGUACAAAUAUCUCUUUAAGACCCUGCUUUCAAUUCUUUGAGGCUGGUCACAGGAUGGCCUCAGCGAUUCUUUCUGGUGACACUCUCUUUGGAGAGGAAACUUCUCCUGGAGGUCCCUCGGCCGAUGGCCGCUCACAUUCCACUGGAUUAUAAAAUGAGCAACUCACUUCAAGCAAAGAGCUGUGACAAGAAUCCUGAAGACCCUCAGAACUCCCAUCAAGUUAACACUACACACUAUAUUAGCACCAGUACAGGUGAUUUUCAUCCUUUUCAAAUUCUUUUCUUCCAGAACACCUGAGGAUUACAGAGCCAACACUUCUACUUAAAAGACCACAUUAAAAAAAACCAACAAAAAAACAACUGUAGUCAAGGCAAGAAAACAGUAUCUUUAUUGUGUGUAGUUCUAACAAACAUUCAUUGUGUGCACAUUCCAACAGAAAGAGACAAAGAUCUUUGUUCAAAAUAUGCUGAAAUAAAAUAGGUAAACAAACUCCAUUAUUGAAUAGCAAAAGGAAUGUUAAUAUUACUAGAUCACAGUUGAGGGUGAAGUAAAAAGAACAGAAGUUAAAUACUUGAAAUAGUGUUUUGCCCAAAUAGCAAAUAUUUGAUGCAGGCGUGGGCAAAGAGCAGCUACUAAAACUUAUGAGUAAGA